CCUACGGGAGGCUGCAGUAGGGAAUCUUUCACAAUGGGCGAAAGCCUGAUGGAGCAACGCCGCGUGCAGGAUGAAGGCCUUCGGGUUGUAAACUGCUUUUAUAAGCGAGAAAUAUGAUGGUAACUUAUGAAUAAGGAUCGGCUAACUACGUGCCAGCAGCCGCGGUCAUACGUAGGAGCCGAGCAUUAUCCGGAGUUACUGGGUGUAAAGAGUUGCGUAGGUGGCAUAAUAAGUAGCUAGGGAAAUCUGGUGGGUCAACCAUUCAGACUAUUAGCGAAACUGUUAAGCUUGAGACCGUGAGGGGUAACUGGAAUUUCUAGUGUAGGGGUGAAAUCCGUAGAUAUUAGAAGGAACACCAAUGGCGUAGGCAGGUUGCUGGGACGGUACUGACACUAAGGCGCGAAAGCGUAGGGAGCAAACGGGAUUAGAUACCCCGGUAGUC
This 442-nucleotide ribosomal RNA is filed under the name uncultured bacterium. Its description in RNAcentral is "partial 16S ribosomal RNA". It matches the Rfam family "Bacterial small subunit ribosomal RNA", at positions 338 to 795 of the family's 1533-position model. The record is from RNAcentral.